Long non-coding RNA from Trachymyrmex septentrionalis, 398 nucleotides. RefSeq lists it as uncharacterized. The record is from RefSeq and is a predicted model, not a curated record. The transcript is spliced from 3 exons. Lineage: Eukaryota; Metazoa; Arthropoda; Insecta; Hymenoptera; Formicidae.
GAUGGGGUGUGUCCUGUCAUAUUAACGUUGAAAGAGAUCUCGCUGUUCGCAGCCCUGUCUUCGAAUCGAUUGAUUUUUCUCCAGAUUCUAAUCUCUGCUAAAUGUAAAACGACAUUGGAAAAGUUCACGGCCCUGUCUUCGAAUCGAUUGUGACUUUUUCUCUAUAUUCUAAUCUCUGCUGAAUGUAAAUAAAACGGAAUCUCUCAGAAUAUAAAACGACGAGAAACGGCACGAAAGGAUCGUUCAUCGUUGGAUUUCUUUACUAAGAAUGCGACGAAUACGAAAUGGUUGGCUCCAAAUGAGUGCUGUUGCGACUUAUUGAAUUGAUGCUGUCACAAUGGGAAGAGAAGAGAGGUUUGCGAAAAACAGGCUUGACAAUUUUGUGAAGAAGAGAAGGA